AUGAGCAGCAAUGUGUCUGGUAGCCCUGCAAAUGGUUCUCAUAUUUGGAAACUUCUAUGGAAGUUGCAUGCUCUUAUCACAUGUGACAAUGCUAGAUUACUUUGGGACACAGCCAAUGAAUAUUUUGACCUUAAGGUCCCAAAGCCACAGCCUAUAACUUGGUUGAGAUAUAUUUUAGGCCUGUCUUAUAUCAGCAAGAAGAUGAGUGUUGUUGCGGUUUCAGUAAUGUGGGAAAUUUGGAGCAUUAUAAAUAAAUACACACAUGAGGAAGUCAAGUUUGAGCCACUAAAAUCGAUGCAAUUAGUAGAUGAACAUCUUGCUGCUCUAAACAUCCCAGACCAGGGGCAACAAGGGAUUAUAGGACAUGUUGAGAGAUGGAAACAACCUGAGAAUUGGUGGUUCCAAAUUAACUCUGAUGAUGGGGUUAGCAUGGUGCAGAGGUGUCCGGAGUGGCUGCAGUUGUUAGAGAUCAUUCUGGAGUACCAAUGGAGCUGCUCAUACAUGUUCCAAGGAGGCACUAGACCUUUUUACUUCAUGUUUCUUUUGAUCGUCUUCCUCCCUCCCUCCCUCCCUCCCUCCCUCCCACGACCACGCCUUCCUCCCUCCAUCCCUCGAUGGAGGUCCCAGAUCGAGUCAGAGAAGGUCCGGCGGUGGCCAGAUCCGCCACCACCACAGCGGGCCUUUUGGAUCCACACCGUCAUCGAGCUGGAUCCACGCCUCAUCGCGCGGCCUCGUCUGCCUUUGCGGCUGCGCCACGGGAUUCUACUACGUCGCCCAGUCCAGCGUCGCCGCACGGGACGCGCCUUCUCCAUCGGCCACGUCCUCUGCUACACCUCGGAGAUGGGCUACGUCAACCUCAUCCCCGCGCCCCAGGAGGUCGAGGACCGCAAGGACCGGGAGAUCGAUAAGAUGGAGGGAAACUUUAGCGUCGCCUACGUCAAUCGACGAGAUGGAGAUCGGCUGCACCACGGCAGCGACGGGCCGACGCUAGUGGACUGGGAGCGCAGGUGGCCGAUGCUAGUGGACCGGGAGCCAAGGGCCUGACAUACCUGCACGAGGACUGUAAGUCGUUGGAUGUCUCUAUUGAUUUUGAUGUGAACUUGUAUGACUGAUUGACGAUGCACUGUUGCACUGCAUAACUGGUCCAACGUCUUCUCCUUUGGCCUCAUGCUUUUGGUGAUCAUCACCGGCAAGAGACUGGUCCUCUCCGACGAGCCCGACGAGGUCGACGAGACUCUGGUCUCUUGGGAUCUAUACUAUAAGGACCUGGAGCAUCUAUUCUAAAAUCAUAGCUACAAGUUGUUGCUGUCGAUGGUGCCAUGGUGGUGCACAAUGUCUUUGGACUUCUCUGAGCUGAAGGUUCAUUCAAGAUUAACCAAUGAUUCAUAUUCGCAUAUUCAGAGGAGAGAUACCCAGGUCAAGCUUGCAUGGUCUCUGUUUGUUGUGGCUGCUGACAUGGUCGAUGCUGAACUGGAAUUAACCCUGGUUCCAGCUUAUUUGAACUAUUAUUAUUAUAACAUGUCCUAAUAUCUACCAUUGAACUGGCAACACCAUUGAACUGAUGCUUGCCUACCUAGUGCCAGCGCCAGCGCCAUUUCCAUGUCCACUAUUUAUUAUCUGGUAUAUGACGAUGAGCAGAGUGAAGCCUAGUAUUGGUGCUGCACAUAUAGAUUGCUUGCCACUUUGCUACCUGAAACAGAGCCUCGAUUCCAUUUAGACGCUUUUUUGACUCUUUAUUUAUUAGCGGCCCGUGUAAGAACAAAAAACAUAAAGCUCCAAUUAAGUAUGGUAUUUUGUCUUUGUUUCAUGCUCUUUGUAGCUGACGGAUUAGGCUGUGCUUGGAUGGGCCAUGUUAUAGCUUACAGACAGUCUGCGUACUAACUCAGCCUCCAUAUUACAAGUUUAAAAUAAUUUCUGUGUAGUUCACAAACCUGGGACUAAACAUUUCAUUAUUUUUGCUCCUAACGACUUUUAACUGGACUUUCAGUUUCAAUAUGCCACAUCCUUGUAUAAAACUUAACACUGUCAUGCACCUGUUUGCGCGUAUGCCUAUGAUAGGGUUAGGACCUGCCGCACCUUUAGAAUAAAUACAACUGACAGGAUAAUAUUUCUGUUAAAGUGUUAACAUUGAUAUUUCUGAGCCAUCUUAAACAGUGAGGUGGUCCCCUCCUUGCUUGUCGAGAUCGCCCCCAUCUUCCGUGUCGCCAACGAGGCCGAGGCCAGCGACCCACGAGUCGCCUACCUAUGUACCAGAGGCUGACCAGAUACUCCAUUGACUUCUCUAGCUCCCACAUGUCGCCCCUGGGCUGGAGCGCGCUCGUGGGCGAUCGGCAUCCUCCUGGCGGCGCUGUUCCUCACAAAGUGUUAAGUUCGAUUACUGCCUCAUGUUGAUGGCAUUGUUUCUUUUUGGUGAUCUAAUGUCGCUUAGGUUGCUGCUGCUGUGCUGGAAGCACACCACAACUUUAGUUGAUGUGUAUCUAUUUUUGCUUGUUUUAGUUGAUGUUGGACGUGCAGACUUGUAUGUGCUGUUGUGUGUAUUUGAAUGAAUGAUUUCUGAAUUUAAUCAUUUAAUUGAGAGAAUUAUCGAGUGUUUG
RNAcentral lists this ribosomal RNA (2594 nucleotides) under Triticum aestivum (bread wheat). Its description in RNAcentral is "partial small subunit ribosomal RNA". The record is from RNAcentral. Lineage: Eukaryota; Viridiplantae; Streptophyta; Magnoliopsida; Poales; Poaceae.